This 219-nucleotide unclassified non-coding RNA is filed under the name uncultured fungus. Its description in RNAcentral is "sequence contains ITS1, 5.8S rRNA gene". The record is from RNAcentral. Lineage: Eukaryota; Fungi.
UUGAAUUUAAUGUGGAGUUGGUUGUAGCUGGCUUGAUUGAUUUUUUUUAAAAAAGAUUUCAGGCAUGUGCACACCUUCUCUUUCAUCCACACACCCCUGUGCACUUGUGAGACAGAUUUUGGAGGGGAACCUUUAUUGGGGACUUCCUGUCUGUCUACUUAAUUCACACAAACUCAAUUUAUUUUAAAAUGAAUGUAAUUGAUGUAACGCAUCUAAUAC